AUCGGCAAGUUUCAAUUUAUUGACUUUUGUUUGCCAACUAAGGCCCCUUAACGUGUUUUCUCGCAGGGAUUGGUACAAAAAUAGCCGAAUUUAGCCAAAAAUGGCCAAAAACAGCCGACUCGAGGUAAAUUGCCGCCACGGGCGGCGUUGCAAUCGCCAGAGCACGAUGGAGCCGCCGUACCAGAAUUCUGAAAUUGGCCAAAAAGGUUUCCUAACACGAAUUUUGAGUUUUUUUAGGAU
Molecule: long non-coding RNA, 240 nt
Filed under: Carica papaya (papaya)
Lineage: Eukaryota; Viridiplantae; Streptophyta; Magnoliopsida; Brassicales; Caricaceae
Description: long non-coding RNA (CPAP_LNC002195)
Source: RNAcentral